AAGCAAUACGAGAGUGAACUGCGAACGGCUCAUUAUAUAAGUUAUCGUUUAUUUGAUAGUGCCUAUCCUACACGGAUAACAGUGGUAAUUCUAGAGCUAAUACGUGCCAACUGCCCCGACUUCGGAAGGGGCGUGUUUGUCAGAAUCAGAACCAAUGCCCUUCGGGGCUCCCUGGUGGCUCAUGACAACCCUACAGAGCGCAUGGCCUCGCGCCGGCGCCGGCUCAUUCAAAUUUCUUCCCUAUCAACUUUCGACGGUACGGUCUUGGCCUACCGUGGUUACAACGGGUAACGGAGGGUUAGGGCUCGACCCCGGAGAGGGAGCCUGAGAAACGGCUACCACAUCCAAGGAAGGCAGCAGCCGCGCAAAUUAUCCAAUCCCGACUCGGGGAGAUAGUGACAAUAAAUACCGAUACAGGGCUCUUUUGGGCCCCGUAAUUGGAAUGAGUACAAUUUAAACCUCUUAACGAGGAACAAUUGGAGGGCAAGUCUGGUGCCAGCAGCCGCGGUAAUUCCAGCUCCAAUAGCGUAUAUUAAAGUUGUUGUGGUUAAAAAGCUCGUAGUCGAACCUCGGGCUCGGCCGGCCGGUCCGCCUCACCGCGUGCACUGGCCCGGCCGGGCUCUUCUCCCUGCGGAGCCGCAUGCCCUUCACUGGGCGUGCCGGGGAAGCAGGACUUUUACUUUGAAAAAAUUAGAGUGCUCAAGGCAGGCCAAUGCUCGGAUACAUUAGCAUGGGAAUAAUGGAAUAGGACGUUGGUUCUAUUUUGUUGGUUUCUAGGACCGCCGUAAUGAUCAAUAGGGACGGUCGGGGGCGUCAGUAUUCAGCCGCGAGAGGUGAAAUUCUUAGACCGGCUGAAGACUAACUACUGCGAAAGCAUUCGCCAAGGACGUUUUCGCUGAUCAGGAACGAAAGUUAGGGGAUCGAAGACGAUCAGAUACCGUCGUAGUCUUAACCAUAAACGGUGCCGACUUGGGAUCGGGCGCUGCUGAAUCUACGGCGCGCUCGGCACCAUUCGAGAAAUCAAAGUGCGUGGCUCCAGGGG
RNAcentral lists this ribosomal RNA (1042 nucleotides) under Savoryella aquatica. Its description in RNAcentral is "SSU rRNA". It matches the Rfam family "Eukaryotic small subunit ribosomal RNA", at positions 67 to 1120 of the family's 1831-position model. The record is from RNAcentral. Lineage: Eukaryota; Fungi; Ascomycota; Sordariomycetes; Savoryellales; Savoryellaceae.